This 199-nucleotide long non-coding RNA is filed under the name Gossypium raimondii (Peruvian cotton). RNAcentral's name for it is "long non-coding RNA (GRAI_LNC002274)". Lineage: Eukaryota; Viridiplantae; Streptophyta; Magnoliopsida; Malvales; Malvaceae. The record is from RNAcentral.
AUUUGUUGACGAAAUAUCGAUUUAGCUCUGAUUUCAGCUAUGCUUGAACCAUCAUCAGUCAGUGACAACCGGGCAUUCAUAUCUCGUAAAGCAAACAGAGAUUUCCAGCUCAAAGCAUCAACUACAACAUUAGCCUUAUCUGGAUGAUAAUCAAUAACCAAUUCAUAAUCUUGUAUCAAUUCAAGCCAUCUGCGUUGUC